Molecule: unclassified non-coding RNA, 253 nt
Filed under: Dolosigranulum pigrum
Lineage: Bacteria; Bacillati; Bacillota; Bacilli; Lactobacillales; Carnobacteriaceae
Description: 16S-23S ribosomal RNA intergenic spacer
Source: RNAcentral
AUACUGCCAUUAGGGCAGACGGAACCUUGUACAUCGUGUUCUUUUGUUUAGUUUUGAAGGAUGUAUGCCUUCAAAAUUGUUCUUUGAAAACUGAAUAGUUGAAUCGACAUUUAAUUUAUAAAUUAUUUGAAGACAACACCGAGACAUAAUCAUUAAUUUGAUUUAAAACGUUGAAAAGAGUCUAUUUAUUAAGUUUAAUAAAUGAGAGUAACAAUUUUUUAACGCUACACAUAUGCUUAACUUAACCAGACGG